GUCACGUAAUUCGGUGGUACACCUGUAACCUCGUGAUUAGUUUACGACACAUACCUGUCUUUUCCAGCUCUGGCGUAUACGAGAAAAAAAACCAACCAGUUUUGUAGGCUUUGUUGCUUCAGUUAACUUUGAGAUGCUCCCUGAUAACUUACCUCUAUUUCGGUGCACAAACUAGAGUCAAGCUCCGGUGGUGCGCUGAAUUCAGCUCCGUCUUUCAUCUGUUUCUCUAUAAACUUGCGGUAGAAUUCAGGGUCAUUUUCAGAGAGGUCAUCCAGCAUGGACCAAAACUGAUUCACCUGCUGUAAAACAUCUUUUGUACUGCCAGUGGAGGACAUCUUAAGCAUCAACUAACGCCUAAUGUUGUAUGUCACCAUGGAAACUGGACGUGAGGAAACGUUCCACCGACGCCCCCUGUCGGAAUCCAGCCUAAGAACUCGGCCACUUUGGUGUAAACUCCAGGAUGGUUUGGUUCAGCACAGCCAGUCCCCCAGCUCACCACCCCCACCAGCCUCCACACAUUCUCAUCCUGGCAGACAAGAGGACCCCCACUGUCCCCCUGAAAGGCCACAUCACCUAACUUCCUGUUUCGUCAUGGCUACCUGCUGCUGACUUAGCUGGCUGCAAAUCAUCACCGAGGCGACGUCACGGCUCUGAAUGAUCGCCCUCUGCUCCUCGUCUCUCCAUCAAGGCUGCAAUCAGAGACAUCUACAGGGCAUCUGACCUACUGACAGGCUGACAGGUCAGGACCAGUGUGAUGUCCUGAAAUAAAAGCAGAAGCUGGUUAAUGAUAAUAAAUA
This is a long non-coding RNA of Notolabrus celidotus (New Zealand spotty), 797 nucleotides long. RefSeq lists it as uncharacterized. NCBI's taxonomy places the organism in Eukaryota, Metazoa, Chordata, Actinopteri, Labriformes, Labridae. The record is from RefSeq and is a predicted model, not a curated record. The transcript has 4 exons.